UACAGAGGGGGCAAGCGUUGUUCGGAAUUACUGGGCGUAAAGGGCUCGUAGGCGGCCAACUAAGUCGGAUGUGAAAUCCCCAAGCUUAACCUGGGAACUGCAUCCGAUACUGGAUGGCUUGAAUCCGGGAGAGGGAUGCAGAAUUCCAGGUGUAGCGGUGAAAUGCGUAGAUAUCUGGAGGAAUACCGGUGGCGAAGGCGGCAUCCUGGACCGGCAUUGACGCUGAUGAGCGAAAGCUAGGGGAGCAAACGGG
This 253-nucleotide ribosomal RNA is filed under the name uncultured bacterium. RNAcentral describes it as "partial 16S ribosomal RNA". It matches the Rfam family "Bacterial small subunit ribosomal RNA", at positions 524 to 776 of the family's 1533-position model. The record is from RNAcentral.